RNAcentral lists this ribosomal RNA (231 nucleotides) under uncultured bacterium. RNAcentral's name for it is "partial 16S ribosomal RNA". It matches the Rfam family "Bacterial small subunit ribosomal RNA", at positions 104 to 334 of the family's 1533-position model. The record is from RNAcentral.
CGGGGUGAGUAAUGUAUGGGGAUCUGCCUGAUGGCCGGGGGAUAGCUACUGGAAACGGUAGCUAAUACCGCAUAAUGUCUACGGACCAAAGCGGGGGACCGUCCGGGCCUCGCGCCAUCAGAUGAACCCAUAUGGGAUUAGCUAGUAGGUAAGGUAACGGCUUACCUAGGCGACGAUCCCUAGCUGGUCUGAGAGGAUGAUCAGCCACACUGGGACUGAGACACGGCCCAG